This 253-nucleotide ribosomal RNA is filed under the name uncultured bacterium. RNAcentral describes it as "partial 16S ribosomal RNA". It matches the Rfam family "Bacterial small subunit ribosomal RNA", at positions 524 to 776 of the family's 1533-position model. The record is from RNAcentral.
UACGUAGGGGGCAAGCGUUGUCCGGAAUCAUUGGGCGUAAAGCGCGUGUAGGCGGUCCGGUAAGUCCGCUGUGAAAGUCGGGGGCUCAACCCUCGGAUGCCGGUGGAUACUGUCGGGCUUGAGUACGGAAGAGGCGAGUGGAAUUCCUGGUGUAGCGGUGAAAUGCGCAGAUAUCAGGAGGAACACCUAUAGCGAAGGCAGCUUGCUGGGACGACACUGACGCUGAGGCGCGAAAGCGUGGGGAGCGAACAGG